CCUACGGGGGACAGCAGUGAGGAAUAUUGGUCAAUGGACGAGAGUCUGAACCAGCCAAGUAGCGUGAAGGAUGACUGCCCUAUGGGUUGUAAACUUCUUUUAUAUGGGAAUAAAAUGUUCCACGUGUGGGAUUUUGUAUGUACCAUAUGAAUAAGGAUCGGCUAACUCCGUGCCAGCAGCCGCGGUAAUACGGAGGAUCCGAGCGUUAUCCGGAUUUAUUGGGUUUAAAGGGAGCGUAGGUGGAUUGUUAAGUCAGUUGUGAAAGUUUGCGGCUCAACCGUAAAAUUGCAGUUGAAACUGGCAGUCUUGAGUACAGUAGAGGUGGGCGGAAGUCGUGGUGUAGCGGUGAAAUGCUUAGAUAUCACGAAGAACUCCGAUUGCGAAGGCAGUUCACUGGACUGCAACUGACACUGAGGCUCGAAAGUGUGGGUAUCAAACAGGAUUAGAUACCCGAGUAGUC
Molecule: ribosomal RNA, 460 nt
Filed under: uncultured bacterium
Lineage: Bacteria
Description: partial 16S ribosomal RNA
Rfam family: Bacterial small subunit ribosomal RNA
Source: RNAcentral